UACGUAGGGGGCAAGCGUUGUCCGGAUUUAUUGGGCGUAAAGAGCGUGUAGGCGGCCAUACAGGUCAGCUGUGAAAACUCGAGGCUCAACCUCGAGACGUCGGUUGAAACCGUAUGGCUAGAGUCCGGAAGAGGAGAGUGGAAUUCCCGGUGUAGCGGUGAAAUGCGCAGAUAUCGGGAAGAACACCCGUGGCGAAGGCGGCUCUCUGGGACGGUACUGACGCUGAGACGCGAAAGCGUGGGGAGCGAACGAGG
Molecule: ribosomal RNA, 254 nt
Filed under: uncultured bacterium
Lineage: Bacteria
Description: partial 16S ribosomal RNA
Rfam family: Bacterial small subunit ribosomal RNA
Source: RNAcentral